RNAcentral lists this ribosomal RNA (253 nucleotides) under uncultured bacterium. RNAcentral's name for it is "partial 16S ribosomal RNA". It matches the Rfam family "Bacterial small subunit ribosomal RNA", at positions 524 to 776 of the family's 1533-position model. The record is from RNAcentral.
UACGUAGGGUGCGAGCGUUGUCCGGAAUUACUGGGCGUAAAGAGCUCGUAGGCGGUUUGUCGCGUCGUCCGUGAAAACCCGAGGCUCAACCUCGGGCCUGCAGCCGAUACGGGCAGACUAGAGUUCGGCAGGGGAGACUGGAAUUCCUGGUGUAGCGGUGAAAUGCGCAGAUAUCAGGAGGAACACCGGUGGCGAAGGCGGGUCUCUGGGCCGAUACUGACGCUGAGGAGCGAAAGCGUGGGGAGCGAACAGG